AACGAACGCUGGCGGCAUGCCUAACACAUGCAAGUCGAACGAAGGCUUCGGCCUUAGUGGCGCACGGGUGCGUAACGCGUGGGAAUCUGCCCUUUGCUUCGGAAUAACAGUUAGAAAUGACUGCUAAUACCGGAUGAUGUCGCAAGACCAAAGAUUUAUCGGCAAAGGAUGAGCCCGCGUAGGAUUAGCUAGUUGGUGGGGUAAAGGCCUACCAAGGCGACGAUCCUUAGCUGGUCUGAGAGGAUGAUCAGCCACACUGGGACUGAGACACGGCCCAGACUCCUACGGGAGGCAGCAGUGGGGAAUAUUGGACAAUGGGCGAAAGCCUGAUCCAGCAAUGCCGCGUGAGUGAUGAAGGCCUUAGGGUUGUAAAGCUCUUUUACCCGGGAGGAUAAUGACAGUACCGGGAGAAUAAGCCCCGGCUAACUCCGUG
RNAcentral lists this ribosomal RNA (433 nucleotides) under uncultured bacterium. RNAcentral describes it as "partial 16S ribosomal RNA". It matches the Rfam family "Bacterial small subunit ribosomal RNA", at positions 29 to 507 of the family's 1533-position model. The record is from RNAcentral.